GUAGGGUGAACCUGCGGAAGGAUCAUUACCUAGAGUUUGUGGGCUUUGCCCGCUACCUCUUACCCAUGUCUUUUGAGUACUUACGUUUCCUCGGCGGGUCCGCCCGCCGAUUGGACAAAAUCAAACCCUUUGCAGUUGCAAUCAGCGUCUGAAAAACAUAAUAGUUACAACUUUCAACAACGGAUCUCUUGGUUCUGGCAUCGAUGAAGAACGCAGCGAAAUGCGAUAAGUAGUGUGAAUUGCAGAAUUCAGUGAAUCAUCGAAUCUUUGAACGCACAUUGCGCCCCUUGGUAUUCCAUGGGGCAUGCCUGUUCGAGCGUCAUUUGUACCUUCAAGCUUUGCUUGGUGUUGGGUGUUUGUCUCGCCUCUGCGUGUAGACUCGCCUUAAAACAAUUGGCAGCCGGCGUAUUGAUUUCGGAGCGCAGUACAUCUCGCGCUUUGCACUCAUAACGACGACGUCCAAAAGUACAUUUUUACACUCUUGACCUCGGAUCAGGUAGGGAUACCCGCUGAACUUAAGCAUAUCAAUAAGCGGAGGAAU
Molecule: ribosomal RNA, 541 nt
Filed under: Ascochyta rabiei
Lineage: Eukaryota; Fungi; Ascomycota; Dothideomycetes; Pleosporales; Didymellaceae
Description: eukaryotic LSU rRNA
Rfam family: 5.8S ribosomal RNA (bases 169-322)
Source: RNAcentral